CAGGAGGUGCGAGCGUUAAUCGGAUUACUGGGCGUAAAGCGUGCGUAGGCGGCUUUUUAAGCGGAUGUGAAACUCCCCGAGCUUAACUUGGGAAUUGCAUUCGAUACUGGGAAGCUAGAGUAUGGGGAGAGGAUGGUAGAAUUCCAGGUGUAGCGUGAAAUGCGUAGAGAUCUGGAGGAAUACCGAUGGCGAAGGCAGCCAUCUGGCCUAAUACUGACGCUAGAGGUACGAAAGCAUGGGGAGCAAACAGGAUU
This 254-nucleotide ribosomal RNA is filed under the name uncultured bacterium. Its description in RNAcentral is "partial 16S ribosomal RNA". It matches the Rfam family "Bacterial small subunit ribosomal RNA", at positions 526 to 779 of the family's 1533-position model. The record is from RNAcentral.